MicroRNA precursor from Astatotilapia calliptera (eastern happy), 64 nucleotides. The record is from Ensembl. Lineage: Eukaryota; Metazoa; Chordata; Actinopteri; Cichliformes; Cichlidae.
AGCUGAUCUCUUGUUUUCAUUGAAGCUGUUUCCUCUCAGCAGCUCAGUGAGCUGGAUCAGAGCC